GUGAACGCUGGCGGUAGGCCUAACACAUGCCAGUCGAACGGCAGCACCGUAAGAGCUUGCUCUUACGGGUGGCGAGUGGCGGACGGGUGAGGAAUACAUCGGAAUCUACUUUUUCGUGGGGGAUAACGUAGGGAAACUUACGCUAAUACCGCAUACGACCUACGGGUGAAAGCAGGGGAUCUUCGGACCUUGCGCGAUUGAAUGAGCCGAUGUCGGAUUAGCUAGUUGGCGGGGUAAAGGCCCACCAAGGCGACGAUCCGUAGCUGGUCUGAGAGGAUGAUCAGCCACACUGGAACUGAGACACGGUCCAGACUCCUACGGGAGGCAGCAGUAGGGAAUAUUGGACAAUGGGCGCAAGCCUGAUCCAGCCAUACCGCGUGGGUGAAGAAGGCCUUCGGGUUGUAAAGCCCUUUUGUUGGGAAAGAAAAGCAGCAGGUUAAUACCCCGCUGUUCUGACGGUACCCAAAGAAUAAGCACCGGCUAACUUCGUG
RNAcentral lists this ribosomal RNA (491 nucleotides) under uncultured bacterium. RNAcentral's name for it is "partial 16S ribosomal RNA". It matches the Rfam family "Bacterial small subunit ribosomal RNA", at positions 29 to 507 of the family's 1533-position model. The record is from RNAcentral.